Molecule: ribosomal RNA, 306 nt
Filed under: uncultured bacterium
Lineage: Bacteria
Description: partial 16S ribosomal RNA
Rfam family: Bacterial small subunit ribosomal RNA
Source: RNAcentral
GACAGCAGCAGCCACGGUAAUGCGGAGGGGGCUAGCGUUGUUCGGAAUUACUGGGCGUAAAGCGCACGUAGGCGGCUUGGUAAGUUAGAGGUGAAAGCCUGGAGCUCAACUCCAGAAUUGCCUUUAAGACUGCCGAGCUAGCAGGUGAGAGAGGUAAGUGGAAUUCCGAGUGUAGAGGUGAAAUUCGUAGAUAUUCGGAAGAACACCAGUGGCGAAGGCGGCUUACUGGCUCAUACUGGACGCUGAGGUGCGAAAGCGUGGGGAGCAAACAGGAUUAGAUACCCGCGUAGUCCCUGUCUCUUAUAC